CUCAUUUGUAGUCCGUUAUAACGGAUAGAUGAUCAAUUUAUGAUUCAUGCCUUGGUUAAUUUCCACCGUUGCCUUUUAAGUAGGUACAUCGAUCCAAAUUGUCCGAUUGUUACACCCCUAGUGACCAACAAGCAUUAAGUUAAUAGUAAAACAGAUUUUAUAUUUUACUUUUUCAUGUCCACUUGAAAACAUUAUAAUUCUAUACAGGGAGUUCAGUUGAGAACGUCCAAACGUUAGUGUACAAACAAAACGCUACCCUAUCUUAAACCAAUUCCAUAGGAUUGAGGGUGUGAUGCUUUCCAGACGUUGCACUGCCCGAGCUCAAACAUGAUUCAUUUGCAUCAUUAACUGGAAAAUGUAUGUGUUUGUGGUAAAUACUUCUGAUUUGUUAUAGGCCAGGGAUUUAACAUUUAGCAGUGGUGUUGAUUUAAGAUAUUAAACACGUCGGUCAUUGGUCAAGGUGAUUGAAAUGCUGUCUUGACAGUCCCACAGCGACAAUAGAAACACAAAUAUAGUAGUCUUUUUAACUCUGCAGGGAUUAGGGAGGGAGCUUUAUUAUGGUUAAAUGUCAGAUUAAAUUACAUUAUGGGGAAACUGUAAUACGGUGGUUCUGAACUCUGGUGCCCCCUGCAAAUUUUGUUCUCCAGCACACCUGACCAAACUAAUCAUCUGAUUACUAACAGUCGAUGUGGGGGUGUUUGAGCAGAGGAGCAAAGAUCGUGCAGCACCAGCGAUGGAAACCAUUAUUCACUUAUUAGAUGAAGUAAAGAUUCUUAUCGGGCUUGUCAAGGAUUCCUUACUCUUAAACACUCGUUAAACACAGGGGGUUUCAAAAAAAAAAAAAAAAAAUCUUGACACUGAUUUCCUGUAAUGUUUUGGUUUGAUUUCUGAGAAAGCUUAAGUAUAUAUUUGUGUACAAAUACAGACUGUGACUGAUGAUGAUGCAACCAAUUGCAGAUUGAUCUCACUUAGGGGUGUAUGAAAACAGGGUGAUUUUUCUGUUAUACUCCAAGAGUCCAGUAGAGUGUAGUAAGCUCC
This is a long non-coding RNA of Ictalurus punctatus (channel catfish), 1038 nucleotides long. Lineage: Eukaryota; Metazoa; Chordata; Actinopteri; Siluriformes; Ictaluridae. The record is from Ensembl.